This 346-nucleotide unclassified non-coding RNA is filed under the name Hevea brasiliensis (rubber tree). Lineage: Eukaryota; Viridiplantae; Streptophyta; Magnoliopsida; Malpighiales; Euphorbiaceae. The record is from RNAcentral.
UGGAAACAUCUACAGGCUUUGAACAGAAAUUUGAAGACAUGUCAGCCACCAAAAUCCCAUUUUUGGGAGUUGGGUAAUCCUUGAACUCCACUCCAUGAAUGGUCUCGUUAGCGCAAAUAUGCAAAUAUUUGGCAUCUGGGCUUUGCUCUAAACUUUCAUAAGGUGAGAUUUUUGUAUACUUCUCAGAUUUCCCAGACCAAAUCACCUUGGGCUUGCAAAACUUCUGUGCCUCCUUGAAAGCCUUAUCGCCCCAAGAUCCAGUAACCACAUAAUCAACCGGGUCAUCGGGCUUGCACAGGUUCAACGGGAUCAUGGCGAACUGGGUGGUUCCGCCGCCCUGAAGAAA